RNAcentral lists this long non-coding RNA (1054 nucleotides) under Sinocyclocheilus grahami. RNAcentral describes it as "lncRNA (ENSSGRG00000050448.1)". Lineage: Eukaryota; Metazoa; Chordata; Actinopteri; Cypriniformes; Cyprinidae. The record is from RNAcentral.
CGCGAAAAUCUAGUCGUUCCACAUCUGGUCUGCUCUGCAGUCCAAACGUUGCUGCUAUACAGACAGGUGACGCAGGCCUGGAGGGGUGUGGCUCUUUGUGUUUCCAUGCGCCAACUGGUUGAAACGUGCUCACUGAAUUGAACGAGGACACCUCAGCACACCCAGCUUGUCAAACGAAGUAAAUGACCACCAAUGAGCUUUCUCAUGCACUAUCCUCAAAACACUUCCCGGUAAUGGCGUGGGAAGUGUAAGCGCAAAAGGGAGUGAGUGCCUUUCGGAUUCCCUAAAUAAUAAGCGGACUGAACCUGGAAGCUAGAUAAGCAUCAGUAACUGGAGUUUGGCAUUUUACUUUGAAAAGCAACAUUACUCACACCCAAGCAAAACUUCAGACAAAUGUGGCUGCUCAAACCAUAACUGUGACCAGCAUGGCGAUGUGGUUUGGAGCAGCUCGUGUCGCAUCGUUAAAACAUUUUGCCUCUGUCCUCAGGACAUCAAAGAAUUUCGAGCCGCGGAUAUGCACUAAAGUAGUAUCCAGCCACACCUGAAAGAGGAUUAUCGUUCACGGAAUGCGUCGGGCAGGUGCUGGGAUCCGAUAGUAUCUUGCAGGGAUAUAGGCCAUCUGACGUCGAGCCUAUAGUCACUACUGCAGUGGCUGCCUAUUUAGACUUCCACAUCUCUAUUAUCAAGCAAACAAGAUGGAGAUGAUCGUGUUGUCUAUACGCCGGAUGGCAACGAUGAGGAAAAAGCACAGGAAACGUAGCACAUUCGGGAAAUAUGUCAGACUUACUUGGUGCAAUGUGGCAAAGGAGACAUGGAGUGUUCAGCAAACUGGACUUUCCGGAAGAAGCACUGUCCUUACACCAAACAACAAACCUUAGAGCUGGAGAAGAAGUUCCUCUACAGUCUACAAGAUGUACUUGACUCAGGAGCGCCGCCUAGAAAUCAGCCGCAGUGUGCAUCUGACAGACAGGCAAGUCAAAAUAUAGCCUAGUUCCAGAAUGGAAAUUGAGAAAAUGACCAGCGCAAAGAGAAAUAAUCCUCGAAGUCUGUCACG